UGUAAGUUGUAAUCCCAGCACAUAGGAGGGGAGCAGCUCCAUCAAGAGGUAGGCUGUCCGGAACACGAACGAUGAAGUGUUCAUCGGCCACCAUGAUGUCGGAGUAACCGCCAUAUGUGGUGGUUCCGUCAAGGUACUUGGAACCAUAGGUGAGUAUCAUUUUGGGGCAGUAAUUCUCAAGGUUGUUGGCACAACUGUCACAAGAAUGGCAAGACCCAACCAUGCAUCCAACACCUACCUUGUCUCCAACUUUGAAUUUUUCUACUUUGCUUCCUACCUCUGUCACUACGCCAACAAUUUCAUGCCUGCAUUGCCCCAAAUAAGUUCACUUAUAGGAAUGCGUUCAUUGAAAAGCUUGAGCUAAUUAACUUACGUUCACAUCACCCAUCAGUAAAUGCUCUGGUCUGACUGUAAACUUGUGAUAAUUCUAGCAAGUAUUUUUCUUAAUUUUCUUAUGGCAUGCCCUGCCUUUCAUUGCCACCAAUCAAAUAAAAGUUUUACAGAAAAAUUAAUUUGAAAACUUUAUACUAAACUAAAGUCAUAAAAAACAUAUAUUGAGAAAAAGACCCAUGCAUUUAGGACAAAUGCAACAGACAUCGUACUUAUGCGUUUCGGUUUAUUUUUUAAGGAGCUAAAUUUUGCUCUUUUUAAAUUAAAAAAUUGUUAUUAACACUUGAAUUAAAAAUCAUGGCGUAUUUCUCACUAGAAUUGAUUCGAUGCAAAUUUCAAUAGUUCCUCUACCAAUAUAUCAAAAAAGAAAAUCAACGACUAACUAAACUAAAGUCAUGUUUGAUAAAUGACAACGUACCCGGGGACCAGAGGAUAGGUAGAAGAACCCCAUUCAUUCUUCACCAUGUGAAGAUCCGAAUGGCAUAUCCCACAGUACAACACUUUGAAUGACACAUCUUUCUCUCCAGUUUCUCUGCAACCAAAUAAAUUCAAUUUUAGACACAAACCAAGAACUCAGAUCUUGACAUUAAAGCAUGCAUAAAUCCUAAACUUCUUUUGUACUGACUGAAUAUGUGUCGGCUUUUCACUGUCAAUAUAACAUGUUACAUGGUGUUACAACUGCAAAAUCAUUUUUACUGAUUAAGAAAAAAAAAAUUUAAUCAAACGGAUACUGAUUCAAAUUUAAAUCCCAGUUUGUUCAUUUUUUUAUCUUCCCCAUUUCAUUGAAUCAUUGUGCUUUUUAAGAACCACAUUUAGACAAAUCUAGGAAUGCAAUAAAAAUGGUAAAAAAACCAAACAAAAAAUGAAUGGGAAAUUAAGUUAUAUAGAAUAAUAACCUUCUUGAGAAUUUAAAGGGAGAAAGAACACCAGAUGAAUCUCUAGCAGCCCAUCCAAAAGCCUUUUUGGGGUGUUCUUGCUCUGUAGAAACCACCAUUUUCGCUCUCAAGAUAUAACUGGCACAAAGCAACUAUGAGAAUUUAAUUAAUAGAGUGAGAGAGAAGGCAAGGGAGGAGCUGUUUAUAUAUAGAUGUGGACGACAUGGGGUGGGGACACUGGGGUAUUGCUGUUGCGCUGGGCUGACGUAUUGGGUGAGCAAAUGGAAAUCAAACAAGGUUCUUUUCCACAGAAAAGUAAUGACAUUCUCAUUGGGUAAGAGAUUGCGCUGGGCUGACGUAUUGGGUGCAACAACUCUAUUUUAGGCAUGUUGAAGACUUUUAGUUUAUCAUUUUAAUUAAGAAUGAGUCAAGUGUAUUAAAAAUAGAAGUACUUGAGAAGAAAGACUUGAAUACUACUUUUUGGAAAAAAAACAAUUCAUGUUGUUAUGGUCGCUCCAGAUUUUUUUUGUUUUUGUUUUUUGGUUGGGUGAAAAGACGAGGUCACUUCAUGUUUUUGUUUAUCAUUUUAAUCAAGAAUGAGUCAAGAAAAAGCAAUAAUUGGUUGUUGACAACAAUUAGGUAUGUCUUCCACAACAUGGUGGCUCCAUUUGUUUUUGUGUUGGUUUAUGCAAUCUCCAAUUCAAUACUGAAAGUUAAUUUUCAAACAUAAUUUGAGGAUGAUGGGCCUAAAAAGUUAAUUAUAAUUUUUUCCCGAAAAUACAUAAAUGAAAGGCAAACUUAGUUUUAAACUUAUUUUGCUUGUCAUAUAGAAAGUUAAUGAACAUUAUUUUAAGUGAUUUGAUGAAAUUAUGUAUUAUAUAUAUAUAUAUUAUAGAAUAAAAUAAAAAAAUUCUUAACCAUUUCAUUUAUAUUUUACAUUUACAUCUAUUGAAAUGUUUGAUUAGAUUAAACAUGACGAUAUAUGUUUCAUAUUUCAUUAUUAUCUUUUUAUUUUUAUGAAAAUCGAUCAUUCAAUCCAAUAUCAAUUGGAUUUAAACCUCUGUGAGAGGUUAACACUUUGAUUUUUCGUCCAUUCAAGUUGAUGUCACUCACAAAAAAAGCAAGAAAAACCUAAGAGAGAAAACUCCUAGCCGCCACCCCUUUUAGGGUGGUGACUACCAUGUUUUUUUUGUCCUAUCUUCAUCUCUUUUUCCUCUCCUCUCUGAAGGAAGUUGAGGUUCCACCCCAAAAUCAAUUGGCAAUGGGGGGAGUAGCUCAACUCCUUAUAAGCCCUUACUAGGUUUCUCAAAUUUCCAAUGUAAGACUUUUUACCUUCACAUUUUCACACUCCCCAACUCAUCCCCUUCAUAUCCUCUUUGCUUACUGCUACAAAAAAGCAAAAAGACGACGGUAAAUCACCGUCGUGUAUUCGAUUUUUCAAUGGUCGUGGAAUCCACCGUCAUCUUUUCCCUCAUAUACCACGACGCUAAAUAACCGUCGUUGUUAAAAUAUACAACGUCAUCAACAAAUACAAAACGACGUCUUUGUACUGCAAAAAGAUCUAAAAAAGCAGUCGAGGAUGAGAAUAGACGACCAACUCUCUAACAAAACCGUCGUUAAAAAGGAAAAAUAUGACACAUAUUAAGAGAACAAGGCCGCAAGAUAGACAUACAACGACGGAAAUAAAAAAACGACGCCGUUAAAUAUCAUUUUCACGACAAUAAAAAAUUUGACGUCUUUAAAUACAUUAGAAGACGACGUUAUUGAUACCUACUACGUCGUAUAUAUAAAAACAGCCGUCGUAAAAUUAAUUUUCCACUUCGAUUUUUCGAUAAAAGAUGACGUGGAAAUAGUUGUCAGUGUCAUUAUUUACGACGUAUGUAUUUAUUGAGUAGACGUUGAAAAACGAAACAACGUCGGUUACAAAUAUAUGAGAGUCGUAUUACAAAAUUUAUACGUCAUAUUUUCAGAAACAAACAUCGACGAUAAAUAUUAGACGUUGUUAAAUAAAACAACGUCGGAAAACAAUACAAACAGACGUGUUUAGUCUGCUAAAGUUCUAGAAAAUAGUCGAGGAUGAGAAUAGACGACCAACUCAAACAAAUCACCGUCGUUAAAAAGGAAAAAUAUGACACAUGUUAAAAGAAAAAGGCCGCAAGAUAUACAUACAACGACGACAACUAAAAUUUUACGCUGUUAAAUGUAAUUUACACGACAAGAAAAAAUAUGACGUCUUUAAAUACAUGAGAAGACGACGUUAUUGAAAUAUACUACGUCUCUUAUUUACAAACAACCUUCGUGAAAUAAAUUUUCCACUUCGAUUUUUCUAAAAAAGAUGACGUGGAAAUAGUUGUCAGUGUCAUUAUUUACGACGUAUGUAUUUAUACAGUUGACGUUGAAAUGCGAAACAACGUCGGUGGCAUUUAUAUAGUCGACGUUGUAUUUAUAUCUAUCAUCAUUACUCACGACGCACUUAAUAAUAUAGACGACGUUGAACUUCUAAACAACGUCGGGUCCAAAUAAAUGAGAGCUGUAUUACAGAACAUAUAGACGGCGUUGAUUAUGAUGAGAGCCGUAUUACAAAUAACGUCGUUUAAUUGUUAUUAGACGGCGGUUAUAAUGAAUUUCCGUCGGAAUUCAUUUCGUUCCUCUUCGUUUAUAAAAGAACUUGCGACGUGGAAAAUGUAUGAUGACGUCGUAUUUUUUAACGUUCAGAUUAUAUAUCUCGUUUUUUAGACGUCGGUAUUAUGGGAUUGAAGUCGUGUUAUUUUGAAUUACAUGACGGUUCUUAAUCCUUCCCCGACGUGAUAUCCUGAAUAAUUGCUUCACAAUUGCGUCGUGGUUCUUCAUUGUUACGUUGCUUUAAGACGUCGGUAAAUAUGCUGAAUAACUGGUUCACAAUAACGUCGUGUUUUAUUUGAACGUAGAAAGUGAAGAAAUCACAUUACAAUAUAUUACAAAAUUAAUGUCAUACACUGCCAAUUACAUAAGCAUCAUUCAAUCCAUAUAUCUUCACACCCAUCUCGAAUAUUUUGACCGCCUAACUCACCCACCAGUUCAUCAAAUGUGUCAACAUUUGGCAUCCCUCUAGUAAAUGGCUCACACUCAAUUAUCACAUCACCUAAGACUUCAUCACCAAUAACAUCAUUAUAUUCUCUAUUAGGCAUUGAUAACACUACCGACCAACCACGAUGCAUCGGGUCGUCAACAAAAAAUAUUUGUUUGACUUGAGAAGCCAAAACAAAUUGGUCAUUCCUAUGUCCAAUUUUACUCAAAUCUACAAGGGUAAAUCCAAGUUCGUCGACUACAAGACCAGAACUAUCUAUCCAAUCACACCUAAAGACUGGGAUUGUAAACUUUUGGUAGUCAAGGUCCCAAAUUUCUUGAAUGACACCAUAGAAACCCAUAUUUGAGAGAAUUGGGUUUUUAUCCUUGGCACUAGCAACUUGCAUGGUAUGUGCAAGUAAAUAAACUCCACUAUUUUGAGUUGUCCGCACAUCAUCUUGUGCCUUGAUAUUGAAUUUAAUACCUUUAAUAAGAUAGCUCCUAUAUAAUGGCACUGACAUGUUUGGACCAGCUGCUAGCCACCUUAAAUUUUCUGAUACGCCAUGAUUGUCUUCCUCAAGUUCACUUUGAACCUGCAAAUUAAUCAUAUCUUAAUUCAAUCUAACAUAUAAAUAAGAAGAAAAUUAAAAGAGAAAUAUGUUAUUCAACAAUAUAUACCUUGAAGCGUAGCCAUUGAAUGAAAGUGCUAUUGUGCUUAUCCUGCAGCCACUUUGUUCUCUUUCUAAAUUUUGGAUAAGCAGUCUUGAUGUGAAUCAUAUGUUGCCUACAUGACACGAAAAAUUCAAGCAUUACGGUCCUAAAUAUAGAAGAUAAACAUAAGAAAUAAUUUCAAAUGGAAACUUAAAGAAUAAAGCUCAUACGUACUCGAUAUAAGGUAGGACUUCCUCCGUAUUCUCCAAGACAUAUAGAUGUGUUUGAUUCAACAGGUCCUGAUCAACUACGCUCACUGUGCAACCUGAUAAUGGCUUUGAAAGUCCCAUCUUUUGGCUUGAAGGCACUCCAACUGUACUAACAUCAGAUAAAUGCUGAGUACAACACUCUACCGCUUCUUCAGCUAUAUACCGCUCAGCAAUGCAACCUUCGGGACGAGUACGAUUCUGAACAUACCCCUUCAGCACUUUCAUAUAUCUUUCAAACGGAUACAUCCACCUAAAAUAUACUGGCCCACAUAGACGAACUUCUCUGACAAGAUGUACUACUAGAUGAACCAUGAUAUCAAAGAAUGAAGGGGGAAAGUACUUCUCAAGCAAACACAGAGUAACUACUACAUCUUCUUCCAACUUAUCUAGCUUGGAAACAUCAACAGUCUUUGCACAUAUAGCAUUGAAGAAGAAGCACAAACGAGUUAUUGCAUACCUUGUAGGCUUCUCCAAAACAGAACGAAUUGCCACAGGGAGCAAUUGUUGCAUUAAGGUAUGACAAUCAUGUGAUUUAAGGCCAAGAAGUCUUGAAUCUUGUAAAGAUACAAGAUUUUUAAUAUUUGAAGAAUAACCUUCAGGGACCUUCAUACCAUAGAAAGAAUUGCAAACCUCUCUCUUCUCUGCUCUUGACAAAUUCCAAGGCCCAGGAGGCAAACGAGUACGUCUUUCUCCAUACUCGGGUUGCAAAUCAGUUUUGACCCCCAUGUUCAAUAAAUCUAAUCGAGCAGCAAUCCCAUCUUUAUUUUUUCCAGGGAUCUCCAGCAAUGUACCAAUGAUACUAUCGCAAACAUUCUUCUCAAUGUGCAUAACAUCUAGGGCAUGCCUCACAGGAAGGUAUUUCCAAUACUCGAGAUCAAAGAAUAUUGAUUUCUUCUUCCAACAAACUCUGUCACCAUUUUCAACCAUAUGCAGCACUUCUUCUCCGGUUAAUGGCUCGGGAGGUAUGCCAUAUUCAGGUUUCCCAUUAAAAGCUGCACGUUGCCUCCUAUAUGGAUGAUUGAUUGGUAACCAUUUUCUAUGCCCAAUGUAACAAAUUUUGUGGCCAUUUUUCAACCUGUGACUAGGUGUAUCAUCGCCGCAUAUUGGACAAGCUUUAUAUCCUUUAACAACACAACCAGAUAAGUUUCCAUAGGCGGGGAAAUCAUUAAUUGUCCACAUUAAUGCAGCUCUGAGUGUAAAGUAUUCUCCAUUAUGUGCAUCAUACACUCCUCUAAUCCCAACCCACAAGGAUUUUAAAUCAUCAAUCAAAGGCUCCAAGUAGACGUCUAUAUCAUUUCCGGGUUGUUUAGGACCGGAAAUCAAUAAGGUUAACAUCAUGAACUUUCGUUUCAUGCACAGCCAUGGAGGGAGAUUAUAUGUAACUAAGAUAACCGGCCAACAACUAUAUCUGCUACUUAGAGAACUGUGGGGAUUGAAUCCAUCAGAUGAAAGAGCCAAUCUCAAGUUUCUCGGCGCAUUACCAAACUCAGGCCAUUUAUCAUCAAGAAGUUUCCAAGACGGGGAAUCCGCCGGAUGAGACAUCUGACCGUCAAUUGAUUUUCUAGCAGCAUGCCACCAAGUCAAACUCUUAGCUGUCUCAUGUGAUUGAAACAUCCUUUUAAACCUUGGAAUUGGGGGAAAAUACCAUACCACCUUCGCUGGCACACCCUCUUUCAAGAUUGAAUCUUUGCCUUCCUUCCACCUUGAGAUACCACAAGUAGGACAAUUAGUUGAAUCCUCAUACUCCUUCCUAUACAAGAUGCAAUCAUUGGGGCAUGCGUGCAUUUUCUCAUAACUCAGCCCCAAUGCACACAAAGUCUUUUUAGCCUCAUACAUGGAGGUUGGUAUUGUAUUUCCUUCUGGAAGCAAAUCGCCUUGAAGUAUCAAUAAUUCUGUAAAACAGACAUCACUCAUCCCAUGUUUUGCCUUCAAAUUAUACAACUUCACUAAUGCCGAUAACUUCGUGUACUUUCUACAACCAGGGUACACUGGUUGAUCUCCAUCCCCAAUCACAUUGGCAAACUCAUACGGAUCCGAACCAAAAUCACCAAAAUCAUUAUCAUCCAUAUCAAUUUCUUCAGACACAAAACUGUACCUACUAUGGCCAUCAUCUUCUUCAACAUUUCUACUAGCAUUAGUAGUUGCUUCCCAAGGUUCUCCGUGAAAUGUCCAAUUCUUAUAGCUUUGGUCAAUUCCAUUAAAGUAUAAGUGAUCCCUUAUAAUUCCAACCCCAAACAACUUCAAAUUAACACAUUUAACACAUGGACAACGGAUAUGUGUUGUAGUUAGAAGAUUUUCUACAGCAAAGUUCAAAAAUGCUUCCACCCCAAAUUCAUAUGCCUUCGAUCUUCUAUCCGAGUGCAUCCAUGACUUAUCCAUCUCCGACACUAUAACCUAUUAUCUAUAAUAAAGUGAAAAUACAGGCAAUGACCAUCACUAUAGCAGAUUAUACAAUGAUCUAAUCGCAAGUAAUACACAACAGAGACGACGGGUUUUAAACAAAAACAGACGUAUUUGGCAUAUAUAGACGACGGAUUUUCAACAGACGUCGUCUAUUAUAAGUAAUACAAACGACGGUUUAUGAAAAAACCGUCGUGUAUAAGUAAUACAACGACGGUAGUUUAAAAAAACCGUCGUGUAAUCGUCGUCGUAUGCCUUAAAAUUCGUCGUGUCUCAGUUUAUUUUCAAGAACACAAAACCCAUUAAGAACACAACAUAUAUAUGAAACCAAGCAAGAAACCAACAUAUACAUGAAACCAAGCAUGAAAACAAUAAAUCCAUUCCCAAUUCAACAUAACAUAGGGUGAUUAAAAGAUACGACAAAAUUAAAUCCAUUCCCAAUUCAACAUAACAGAUAAUGUAAUCCAUGAACCCAUUAAACAGAAAAUCCAUGAACCCAUUAAACAGAAAAUCCAUGAACCCAUACCUAUAAGCACAUUAUUAACAGAUCGCAAAGCAUACACAUAAAACCCUUUAACAAAACAACCUAAUAUCAUUCAAUGAAUUUACAAGGGGAAGAUAGGGUUUGUACUUACAGGUUGGACGAGCUCACAGAUUCGACGGAGCCUGGAGAGUGCAACUUUUAAUUAGAGCAGAAGUGAGAGAGCGAAAUGUUAUGUCGCGCGAAAUCUGAAAAUUUUAGGUUUCAGGGUUCGAUCAUUCAAUGAAUUUACAAGGGGAAGAUAGGGUUUGUACUUACAGGUUGGACGAGCUCACAGAUUCGACGGAGCCUGGAGAGUGCAACUUUUAAUUAGAGCAGAAGUGAGAGAGCGAAAUGUUAUGUCGCGCGAAAUCUGAAAAUUUUAGGUUUCAGGGUUCGAAGUAUAAGAAUAAGAGCCAAAUCUAAAAAAAUUUAGGUCGCGCGAAAAUUUUUAGAGUUCGCGCGUUUUAAAACGUCGAAAGAAAAACCAAGGCGAAAGUUCUACACGUAUCGACGUAAAUUUAAUAUUCCACGACGGAAAGUUCAUUUUUCGGAUUAAGAACGUAAGGCCGUUCAUUUUGAAGCUUCAUUUUUCGGAUUAAUUUUAAAUUUAUUUUGAAUUUUUUAUAUAACGACAACUGAAAAACCACGUCGGUGUUAAGAAAUUAAAGACGUUGUAAAUUAUAUAAACCGACUUACAUAUUAAAAUGACGUCGUUUAAAGCGUAAACCAUGUCGUAUGUUUUUCUGUACGACGUAAAAUAUGUAUUCCACGACGCAACCACCGUCGUUAAAAAUUAAUACCCUAAACCCAUAAAACUAAAUUAUACAAUUUAAAAAAUUAAGUUUAUAAAAGGUUUUAUGGUUUUAAAGCCUAACAUAUACCCUAGACUACCCAAAAAUUAUACUUUAAAAAUAAACCCCAAUAAAUAACAACCCUAAUCUCUAAACCCUAGACUCUAAACCCUAAACCAUAAAACUAGAAGUGAUUUUAUGACUCAUCAAAACAAUUUUGUUUUGGAUGGUCAUUUUAAAUUUUUGUUAUUCAAAAUGAAUUUUUUCAAGGUUUAUGUGGAAGAAAAUAUAUCAAUGACUUCAUAGGAGUUGACUUUUCAAUUUUCUGAUUUAUUUUAAAUUUAUUUUGAAUAUUUUGAUAUAAAAAUAAUAAAAUAUUCUUACCACAACAACAAACCACGUCGGUGUUAAUAAAUUGUAGACGUUGUAAAUUGUAAUAGACUACUAAGUCGUUAAAAUGACGUCGUUAAAAUGAGAAACCAUGGCGGCUAUUUAACUAUACGACGUAAAAUAUAUAUAUCAACGACUUAACCGUUGUCGUUACAUAAACGUCGUCGAUGAUACCCUGAACCCUUAAGAAAUUGAAGAUGUUGUAAACCAUAAACGACUCAAUUGUUCAAAGAACGUCGUCUAACUAUAUUUUUACGUCGUAUUUGUUUAAAACACGAAACAACAAAAUACGACGGUUUGUGACUUUAUUAGGUCGUUGGAAAAGUAUUACACGUCGGUUACGCAAUUUGUAUGUUUGUUUUUUUUUAAUUUAAGAAAACCUCAACAAAUUUUUACAUUACAUAUUAUAGAGAAAAUUUGUACAUUAUACAUAAAUAUCAAGUGUUCAAUAAUUGCCCUGUUUAAUAAUUUGGAAAACAAACUCUGCCCAUUCAUUCCGGACUUCAUCAAUGGCUUCUUGGGGGUAUGAAGCUUCCUGGUUUCCCUUGGCAUACUGCAUAAACAAUGACUAUUAGGGUUUAUAAAUAAAAAGAAAUUCAAUCACAGACGACGAUAUUUUUCAUAACCGACGUAGUAUAUCCAUUCAACGACGUUAAUUUUACAUGACCGUCGUUGAUAAUACAAAAAACGACGUGAAAUGUAUGAAGGUAAUUUCUUCUUACCUUAUUCUCAAACCCCAAGGAAGGAUCCAUGAUGAUGUCCCUCAUGAAGCGCAUCACAUAAUACCCGCAUUCGACAUUGCUGGGUUGCUUUGGUGUGCCUGAGAGAGUUUUCCAAAUUACAUUUUUACGUCCUGCUCGGCCUAUGUGGGUAUUAUAUAUUUUUAAAGCACUGUUCACGAUGUUUUUCGCCUCUUCGUCGACCACACGAUGACCUGGCAGAGGAUCCAGAAAAUAGACGGUCUCCUUCUUUGCUCUUACAAUCAGCAAGAUCCAAUGACGGCUGCACAAAAUUAAUAUAAAAACGACGGUUAUUUACAAAAACGACGUAUUAUAGUAUUUCACACGACGAAAUAAAGUAGAUAACGACGACAUUAUAUAUUUAUCACGACGACAAAUAAAUACUGACGUGGUUAGUAGUUUCAAACGACUAAAUAAAAUAAAACACCGACGUGGUUAGUUUAUAAGCUGUCAUUUAUUGAAAAUCAUAAAAACAAAAUCCUAAGGAGACUAACCCUGGAUUGUAAGGCAUCAUGAAAAGCUGUUCACCGUCUGUCUUCUGAAGUCGAGCUGCUACCAGUCGUGAUCUUUCAGUUAUUGUGCCAGAGUUGACACUAACUGUAGCAGGGUCAAUAAAGCCAACCAUGCUGCACAUAUUGGCUUUUUUCAAAACAUCGUGUAAGUACCUAAAUACAUAAAAUAAUAUAAACAAGUCAGCAAAAACAAACACGACGGUUAUGUAUAAAAAAACGACGUAUUAUAAUAUUUCACACGACGUACUGAAAUAGAUAAGGACGUUAUAAUAUAUUUAUCACGACGGUAGUUAGUUAAGACGACGUGGUUAGUUAAACCAACGAGUUAUUAUCUUAGAAGUACAAACCUCAUAUAUACAGCCAAUACAGUAGCUCCAAUUUCUUCCAUGCCUGCAAAUUGUGUAAUAUCUUCAGGCAGGAGGAAGGUAUCGCGCUCACCACCAAACACCUCCUUAUCAAUUGUAAAUUGGAGUGUCUUAUCCUCAGGCAGGAGUGUCGUUUCCACAAAACGACAAAGGGUUUUUAAAGAAGAUGGCGCCUCCAUAUUUGAAUAAGCACCAACUUCAAUAACCUGUUUAAAGAAAUAAAAAAAAUGACGUGGUAAUUCAAUAAAGACGACGGUUUUAGUAAUAAAACGUCGUCUUAAAAGUAUUUAAACGACGGUGAAAAAAUUGUCGUGGUAAUUCAAUAAAGACGACGGUUUUAUGAAUAAAGCGUCGUCUGAAACCAUUUAAACGACGGUGCAAAAACCGUCGUUUAAAUAUUUUAUUACGUCUUAAAAAAAGUCCGCCGUCUAAGUUUUAAACAAACGACGGAUUAAAUAAAAAUAUCGACGUCUGAAAUUUUGAAAAACAAAUAAAAAAGGCAAAGUUAUGUGAACAUACCUUGUCGUCAUGCUUUUCUUCAUCUUCUUUCUCCUUUUCUUCUUCCUUCUCUUCAUCUCUUUUUUCUUCUUCCUUCUCUUCAUCUGGCUGAUGUUUCCCCAUUUUGGCAGUAUCAUCCUCCAAAUGUAGGGAUCUCACAUCACCUCCAGAGCAGCUAGCUUUGUCAGACAUUGGAUUUUUGGGGCUUUGGCUAAUUCUUGGUUUAAGCAUGCUUGGAUCAAAAUUGGGAAUUAAUUGGGAAAGCUGACUCAGGAAAUGCUCCCUCUCAGCCUCUACCAAUUGUUUUGUCCUAGCCUCCAUCCUUAAGGCCUCUUCCCUUGCCUUAGCCUCCAUCUUUUUAGUCUCUUCUUGAAGGAGAACUCUUAAACUGUCCUUCAAACGGUCGUCAAAGCUCACCCUCUGUGGUUUGGGCAAAUUGAAAUAUUGCCUUGGGGAAACACCAGCACCAACUCCCCUCAGUCUGCCUGGAUGCUCGGGGCCCAAAGCCAUGGUCAGCACAUCAUUGCUGCCAUCUACUCUGACUUUGCCUUCCGAGACUUGUUUCUGCAAUUCAUCCUAAAAAAAGAUAAACAAAAAACACACGACGGUUAUUUAUGUACAAACGACGUAUUAUAUAAUUUCACACGACGCAAUAACGUAUAAACCGACGUUAUUAUAACUUAUCACGACGGUAGUUAUACCGACGUGGUUAUUUAUUUAAAACGACGAAAUGAAUAAACAACCGACGUCUUAUGCUAUAAUUAAAGAUAACAGAGUAGUGAUUCCUAUUUAGACCGUUAACGACGUUUUUAAAAAAGUUUCGACGUGGUAAUAUCAUUCACACGACGCGAAAAUGAACCACCGACGUCUUAUGCUAUAAUUACAGAAAAUAUAGUAGUGAUUCCUAUUUAGACCUUUAACGACGUUUUUAAAAACUUUUCGACGUGGUAAUAUCAUUCACACGACGAAAAAUAUAACAUACGACGUAAUAAGAAUAAUUCACAGUUUAAUAAAAAUUUAAAACAGAGUGAUAGUAGGCUUACAAUUAAUUUUGCUUUCUCUGCCACCUUUGGAUCAGGGAUGUUACCAUGUUUGUCCUGUCUAGCUCUCUUCCAUAAGGUAGAUCGAUCAAUUUCUACCCCAGGCAUGGUUUCCUCCAAUUGAUCCUCCAAUCCAGCAUAUCCUUUUCGAGACAAUCGAUGAUUGUACUCGAGUUUCUCCCUAAUCUGUGCAUGUUGAGAAUGCACAGACUCAAAAUCUUUGGAUAGCCUUGAAGCUACAAAGGCAUCCCAUUGUGCUUUCUCUAUGAAUUUAUAUGUUUCAGGGGGUUGGCUUAAUUUCUCCCUGUCAUUGGUGUAUGGAAGGAUAUAAUGCCUCGUUAGAGUAGACUUGAAAUCCUUCCAUUUCUUGGAAGCAGAAGCUAAAACAGAGGUCUUGCCCCCUUGGCCUACGACAAAAGCCAUGUCAACUGCUUCCCAAAUCUGCUCCUUUAUAUCCUUGGGGAUUUGGGACCAUUUCUUGUCCACAAGUGGGAUCCUGGAGCGUGCCAACACACCAAUAUACGACUGCAUCUCAAUAUGUGCUUGGCCAACACCUUUCCCCCUUUUAUUGUACUCAACAAUUAGCCUCAGUUUCUGAAGCUUUCUCUUCACAACACGAGGCAUUGUGCUCAUACCUCGACCAGUCUUUGAAUCAUCUGAGAUUGUUGUCUGGCUGGUUUGUUCUGUCUCAGCAGAUGAUGAAGCAAACUUCAUCUUCUUCGAAGACUUCAUCUCCUUCGAAGACUUGUCUUGAGGAGCUACCAUUCCAAGCUUCUUGGAGCCAGAAUCCUUAGUUUGUUGUUGAGAAACCAUUUUAACAGACAAAACUGCAAGUGAAAAUAUUUCAGGAAAACAUUAAGAACACAAACGACGGUAUUAAAAAAAUACGACGUAUGAUAUGAUUUUAGACGACGCAAUGAAAUAAUCUCAGACGUAAUAAAUGUUUAAAACCAUUAUUUAUAUAACGUCGUGGUAUAUAUGUUCACACGACGUCAAUAGUAAUACACCGUCGUGGUAAACUAUUAUUUAUAUAACGUCGUGGUAUUUAUGUUCAUACGACGUCAAUAGUAAUACACCGUCGUGGUAUUAACAUUCACACGACGUAAAACAAUAAGAUAUUUUGUCGUCUAUAUUAGAUACCAACCCUAGUUUCUUUUUCUUUAUAUUUUAUCAAAUAAGGGAAAAACAAAAACCAUUGUUCAGCGAAAUCAAACCUGCAAUUAAACAAGCAUAUAAAAAAUACUAUUAUUUUAAAAACAACUUUGUCAAUUUUCAGACGACGCUAGAACAACUGACGAACCGUCGUGGUCUACCGUCGUCUUAUUUAGUUGAUGUAGUUGUCUUCAAAGUUGGAAACUUUCUCUCUUUGUCUAUAUAUUUUAUCAAACUUGAAAAGAAGUAAAAUGAUUUUAGCCAGAAAAAAGGUAAAAAGAUUUUUCAAACAAAAAACGUAUGAGCAUGCAAAACAGUAACCAAAAUAGUGAAAAUGAAAGCUUACCUUUUGCGUGCAAUGAAAGCAAGAGGAAGAUGAUCGAUGUUUAAGUUCAGAGACGACGAAGAAGACGAGAGGAAGACGAUGAGAAACUCUGACAAUGCUCUGACAAGGAAAAAAGACGAAAAGGUUUCUCUGGGAGAUUGAAAUUUUUAAUCGGGUUUGGAAACAGUGCAUGUGUAAGUCGAAAAGUUGCUUACAUAUAAAACCAUUUCAAAAAAAUAAUACGGCGGUUACAUUUAACUACGUCGUUUUUAACUAAAACGACGCAAUAUUUUUCAUUCGACGUGGAAUCAUUUCAUUUAACGUCGUUAGGUUUAAUAUAACCGACGUGGAUUUUAAUUUUUAAAUUAUGAAUAGAAUUUUUUUUCCCGUGACCUUUCAGUUUAUUUUUCAAUUACAGUGCGUUAUAAAUAGAGUUUUUUUUCCGGAGGAAAUUUAAAACGAAGGAAAUUAAUAUUCUGCAAUAUGUAAAGUUUCUUUUUUGGAUGACAGAUUUAAAUAAAAUAAGAAUAUAAAAACAACAAAUGUGUAAGUCAAGUAGACGAAAAGUUGCUUACAUAUAAAACCAUUUCAAAAAAAUAAUACGGCGGUUACAUAUAACUACGACGUAUAAAUUACAAAAUACGACGGUACAUUUAACUUCGGACGUGGUAAAUAAAUACGACAGUAGUUUGUAGGUACCGUCGUAGUAAACUCAAAAAUUAAAGUACAUAAGUAAUAACUCGCGUCAUGGUAUAUUAUUUAACACGUCGUUUGUAUUAAUUUACCGACGUGGAUUUCUGUAAUAUACGUCGAUAAUACCGACGUUGAUUUUACAAUUUAAACGGCGGUUUUUUUGUAAGGACCGCCGUUGGUUUUAAAAAUUUAUUCUAUAAAUUUGUCGCUUUCAUUCAUUUUCGGUUUACAUUUAAGGUUCCAAGUUCUUCCUCUCUCAGUCUCUCAUGUCUCAAAGACAAUAAUUUGGAUGUUUUCUCAAAGAGAAAUUGAGCUUACUCGCAUCAAAUAUAUGUCCACAAGAAGAAGCUUGUCAACUAGCCUUCUCACUUCCUUGAUCAAGCCUGAUAGGACACUUAGUGCUUCUGAAUACUCCUUGCUUUCCAUCAAAAGAGAUGCAAGCCUGGGCCUCCACUCGCUGUCGAAGGAAAGUUCGCUUCUCAGGGAAAUCUGAAGAUCAGAUGUGCCUGAUCCUCUGCUUGAUUUUCUUGNNNNNNNNNNNNNNNNNNNNNNNNNNNNNNNNNNNNNNNNNNNNNNNNNNNNNNNNNNNNNNNNNNNNNNNNNNNNNNNNNNNNNNNNNNNNNNNNNNNNNNNNNNNNNNNNNNNNNUAAAGCAUGAGCAAUUGAAUCAGUAGUUUCUGGGAGAUAUGAUGAAGACAUUGUCAAUGCUUGAACUACACAAGUCUGCAGAAAGAUAUGUUAAAGAAACUGAAACAACGGCGGUUUUCUGUUCUACCGUCGUCUUUCUCGUCGUCUAUAUUAAGUUAAGAUGGCGGUAGAUUUAUAAUUACCGACGUAGAUUAUUUUGUAAAACGUCGUUAAGUGUACUACAACCGACGUGGAUUUUAAUUUUAAAUUAUAAAUAGAGUUUUUUUUCCCGUAUUCUUUCAGUUUUAGUUUUCAAUUCCAAAGCGUGAUAAAUAGAUUUUUCUUCCCCGAGGAAAUUUAAAAUGAGGGAAAUUAAUGUUCUAGAAUUUGUAAACUAACACGACGCAAUAUUUGCAAAUCUGUGUCAUCUGUUAAGAUUAUGAUGUGGAACAGAGUUCCAUCUGGUAAGAUUUCGUAACCCUUGGGAUCUCAGACAAAACUGAUUAUGUCGACGGUGUUCUAUAUAAACCGUCGUGGUUAUUUCAAUUCUUGUCAUUAAGUAGAUCUACCGACGUAGGAUAAGAAAAUCAAAGAAAAAAAUUGUUAACAAAAAUUCUUAUUAAGACGACCGUUAAAAUUAAAGGUACGACGUAUAAAAUGAAUAAAUACGACGAUAAAUUUUAUUGUACGAUUUAAAGAUAACGUCGUAGAACUAUACGAGAAUGACGUCGAUAUAUUUAUAUUUUCCGUCGUUGUAAAUUAAUUUAAUAUGGCGAUAUUUUGUAUUUUAAAGCCGUGGAUUUGUUUGUAAUUAUACGGCGUCUUAUACGAAAACCUCGUCGUGUUAUUUUAUGAGUAAAAACGGCAGUUUUUAUUGAAAUCGUCGUCUUUACUUUCUACGUCGGUCGAUUCAUAACUUCUGCCGUUCUUUGUUGGCAUUGAUUUUACACUGCGGAAAUCUGUUUCAAAUAGACGUCGGUUGUUUAAUUAUGUACGUUGUUGUUUUUGAACAGCCAUUUGAAACUCCAUUUUUUAGUUGUCUAAGGUUGUAUUACACGACGGUGUUUUUAGAACCGUCGUCUUUUUAUAAACCACGACGGUUUUCACUUAGACCGUCGUUGUUUUCUGGUCGUCUUUUUCACUUUUUGUAGUAGUGUUCCCCCUCCUGUAUUGUCUCCCUCUCUUUUCAUUAGCUCGUUUAUGGAGUAAUUAUAACAGAUUUUUGCGGAUCUAUCCUCUUUUGGUUAUCAACUCUAUUUGCUAAAGAGGAGAGUCGAUUGGUGCGGAUUUGUUAUCAUUUGGUGCUUGCGAAUAGUAGGUUGGCUUUGUGACAACGAGGUUGCACUCCGGCUAGUUUAGUUUCUUUAUCUUUGGAAUAAGUCGCAUAAACUCUCUUAGGAUUUUCUGUGUAGUUUUAACCUCUCCAUUGUGAGUGUUUUUCACCUCUUUUUUGCGAGAGCUUUUUGAUUAUUAUGAGUUUACAAUCUUAGUUGAAUGCCUAUGCCAAAGUUUCUUCGGUCAUGUGUGAUCGUUAGUGGAGGUGCACCAAAUUGUCUUCAUCUUAAUGUUAUAUUUCUUUGGAAUUGUAAUGGCCCUUUGUGACUAAUUUGUAUUGGCCUUUUGUUGCCAGUAAACUUUUUAGUUGAAUUAUGAAUGAAAUUCAAUAUCUGAAGAAAAAAAUUAUAUAAAGUGAGAAGAUACCAAAGAGACACGUUGACACAUAUAUCGUGAGGAUCCCGAGCCUCUGCAUUUGGAGUCCACGAAAUUCCCACAUUUCGCUUCAUCUAGGCUGUUAUAAUGAUCCAACGUAUGGUUUCAUACAUGACAUAUUAGCAACAUAAUACAAUUUAGUUUAUAUUUUUAAUUUUUUUAUGAUUCUAUAGUGACGUUACAUUGUCGUUUCCUUCCAUCAUCCCUCUUAUCCCUCUCCUCUUCGUUUCUCUUCUCUCUUUUUUUGGGUGUCAACUAGCAAUCUCUUAUAGAAAGUAAGGGAGCAAGUUGGAUUGGAAAUUCUAAUUCGAAAAUUUCUAAUUUUGGCAAGUCCAUAUCAAUUCUGACCUCCGAAAUUUCCAAAAUCUGAAAAUUCUGAAGAUUUUUUUUUUUUUUUUUUUUUUUUGAAUUUGGAAUGUAUCACAAGAUUCCAAAAGCUUCCAAAUUUUAAAAUAUAUUAGGGUUUCAUGCUUAGAUUACAUAUAUAUAAGACUAAUUUUAUGUUGAACUAGAUAUGGCUUAAUGACCAAAUAGACAUUGUCGAGUAAUUUCUGAAAGGAUAACAACAUCUAAGUAAUAACAUAUAAUACUUUUUCAAGCUUUUCGUAUGAUUUUUCAAUUUUGAGCCAAUUUUAACCUUUUAAAUCAUUGGACAUGUUUAAAAUGUUCAACUAUUUUCCGAAAUUUUUUGACAAUUCCGAGUUUUCCGAAUUAGAAUAGAUGUUGAAAUUCCUAAAAAAUUUUGGAACAGAAUUAGGAAGGAAUUUUCGCCCUAAAUUUUUUUAGAAUGAUAGUAGGGUUCCAUAAUUCCGAUCCAUUUCGUCCGAAAACCAACCCUAAUAGAAAGCAAAAGCAAGGGUGGCAAAGCCAAAGCCAGGUGUUAAAUUUAAAAAAAUGUAAUAAAGUAAUUAAAAAUUCACCCAACAUAAUCUCACUCUUAUUUACAAAUAAGAGUUUUUUUUUGUAUUUAAUUGAGCAUGACCCAUUCAAGAUGAAAAUAUCUCUUAAUUAUAAUCUCUUUGGAAAGAGGACACCCUUUGAUUCCAAUAUGAAGAUUGAAAUAAAUAAUGGAAUUUGAUUUGAUGUUAUGGCUGUAUCCAGGGAACCCUAGACUGCCUACAUACCUCCUUUUGGGAAUCAAACUUUUUGUAGUUCUCAUGAAUAUAUAUUUUUAACAAGGGCUUUCAAAGAGUGGAUGACCCCUUGAAAGAAUUUUGUGGUGUGAAAAAUAUUUUAUGGAAUUUGAAUGAAUGUGGUUGGACCGAGGAUUCAAUUUGAUUUUAUGGUUGAAAAAGUGUUUGGGGCGAAUUUGGUUAAGGUAAACUAGGGAUUCUGUUUGUACUUGUGAUUGUAUCUAGACUGAAUUUCCAAAUUACCUACGUAUCCUUGGCGGAAUCAAUUCAAACAUAGUUCCUUAUGUUUUAAUUAAUCCAAUUUUACUUAUGAAUAUACAAUCUACUAGUAAUUUAGGGAAACUCCUUCGGAAUAAGUUGUAAACUUGGAGUUUGGACCGGGCAUGAGAUUUUUGUUAUUGGGCCAGUACCCAUGAAUUUGACUCAUAUAAUUUAUUUGGGCUUAGCACAUUCCUCAACCACCUUCUUCAAAUGAGAGCACAUCCACCAAACAUCUUCAAGGGAAUGCUUCAUCUCCUUUUGUUGUCCAAAACAAAGAAACCUUGUAGACUGUGUACUCUUAAAUUGGAAUGGAUGAGACUGAACUGCAUAAUUUGGGUAAAAUUGAAAGAUGGUUCAAAUCCUCUUUGCUAGCGCUUCCCUUGGCUUUAAAAUUCCUUCUAAGUGCGAAGUUUCAUCAUUGCUUUGCCUUGAAGAAUUCUGACUGGCGUCUUCACCAUUUUGCUGAGCUCUUACUUGUGUAUUGUUCUGUUGCCCAAUAUAGAAAAAAGAACUUGGGUUGAGGAAGAAAAUAGAGCAAAUAGGCAAGAAAAGAUAAGAAGGACCCGUAGGUCUAUUUUGUAUUGCUGGCUGAUUAUAUAAUUUCAUGGUCGUUGACUAAUACCAUGAUAUUUACAGUAGGUAAUUGAUGCUAAGCUAAAAUAAAGGCAUACAAAUUGUAUGUGAAUAAGGUAGAAUAAGUAAUUGAGCAAUCAGUUGUGAUUUGGUAAUAAUUGGGGAAUUGACUUCCCAGAAUCACGCCCAUCAUGACAUGAAUCAUGGCUGGUCGUGUGGGCAUGUGCUAGGUGUACGGGGGUGUUCUCUUCAUUCCCCCUUAAGCGAAACAGCACGAAGUAGAGAUUGAGCUUGGAAGCAAGAGAAUGAAAUCGUUCCCUAGUGAGAUUCUUGGUAAAGAUGUCGGCCAACUGAUUGUGGGAAGAAAUAUAUUGGGUGUGCAGAACACCACGUGGGAGUAGCUCACGUACAAAGUGAUAAUCAAUCUCAAUGUAACAAGUUCGAGCAUGGAAGAUGGAAUUGGCUGCCAUGUGGAGAGCGGAAAUAUUGUCCACAAGGAGAGACAGAGAGGAGAGCGAAGUGGGAUCUUGGUGGCAAAAGCCCUGUAUUCGGCUUCAGUAUUAGAACGGGAGACAGUGGAUUGUUUCUUUGAGGUCUAGGUGAGUAGAAUGGGGCCAACAAAAAUACAAGCGCCAUUGUAGAUCGACGAUCAUCAACAGACCCGACCCAGUCAGCAUUGGCAUAACCACGUAGUAGAUAAUCACAAGUCUUGUGAAAUUUAAUACCGUGCUCAAGAGUUCCUUUAAUGUAGUGAUAAAUAUGCUUCACGGCCUGAAGGUGAGUGGUGCGUGGAUUAUGCAUAAAUUGACAUACUUGGUUUACUGCAAAAGUGAUUUCUGGUCGAGAUAGCAUAAGGUACUGAAGGCCACCAACCACACUUCGAUAAGUGGUUGCAUCUGGCAAUGGGUCACAAUCUAAGGAUGAAAGAUGGGUGGCUGAAGCCAUAUGAGUGGGACUAGGCUUACAAGACUCCAUGUUUCAUUUUUUAAGAAGGUCAACAACAUAUCUUAUUUGAGACAAGUAGAUGGUCUCAGAGGUAUGAUGAAUUUCCAUGCCAAGAAAGAAGCUCAGAUUACCCAUGCGGCGACUAUCAAACAUGGUGAAAGGACCCGCCCCGAAUUUUCUCAAAACCCGAGACGAACUCUUUGAAAUUUCUGACAUCACCCCGAUGCCAGGCCCACUUACUAAAAACCGAGACUUCCUGCCGAAAUUUCGGCAGAGUCUCCCCUAUAAAUUGGACAUUUCCCAAAAUUUAUACCUGCAUGAAAACGCAUUUAAUAUUCCCAACUGGCAGCAUGCACAAUAUAAUUUCAUGCAAUUCACACAAACGGCCUUCGGCCUUCCAAUAAUUCUCAAGAAAACUACCAAACAUGCUAACAAAGUAAUUCAUGCCUUAAACAAGGCAAACAAUUCAAAUCUAAAUUACGACUAACAUUUAGUCUGCGGCUACACCUAAUAACCUUAGGCUGCCUACGUACCCUCCUUGAGGGAUCAAGCCACACGUAGUUCUUCCCUAAAACCCAGUUCCACACUUAGGCGAUACCUUAUUUCAUUUCCCUGUAUUUCACAUAUCCUCCCCAUACGCCGGUACAACCAACGCCACGUAUGGGGCCUGUCAACACGCCGGAUAACCUACGCCACGUGCGACCAUGCCAUACUAUCAUAAUAUCUCCCCAUACGCCGGUACAACCAACGCCACGUAUGGGGCCUGUCUCAACGCCGGAUAACCUACGCCACGUGAGACCUGCACAUCAUAUCACAUAAUUCCCCCUACGCCGGUACAACCAACGCCACGUAUGGGGCCUGUCCCAACGCCGGAUAACCUACGCCACGCGGGACCUCAACAUCAUGUCACAAAUCUCCCCAUACGCCGGUACAACCAACGCCACGUAUGGGGUCUGUCGACACGCCUGAUAACCUACGCCACGUGCGACCUCAACACAAUAUCACAUAGCUCCCCAUACGCCGGUACAACCAACGCCACGUAUGGGACCUGUCUGCACGCCGGAUAACCUACGCCACAUGGGACCUCACUUUCACUUGGUGGUACUUGUAGUACAUCCAACAUCCGAGGAGGUACCUAAUGUAGUGCGUAUAGCACUCCAAACUAACACUCUAGACUCUGUUGUACCCUUGUUCAACCAUAUAUAAUUAUAGUUAUAUAAAUUAAUUCUAAUAUUGUGUAACCCUCCACAAUCAUCUAGCACCCGAUAAUCCCCCCUAAAAAGGUGAGAUUACUCUGGGAGGCUCACGGUCAACCAAGGGUCAAACUACUCUAACCCUGGUCAAACGGACCUGCGGAACCCACGACCUCCAAUUUUCGAUCCGGAAGUCCCUAUGGGUUCUACCAGGUAUAGGACACUUGUCCUGCGAGUUUGGUUCAGAUCAGACAGUCGGAUUUCUUACGAUCGCAUGAUCUGACGGUUAAUAUAAAAUAUAAACUUUAAAUUAUUAUUCGGAACAUCCGGGGCUCCGAUUCAUGAUCCGUGAAUUCCUACACGAUCCUAGAAAUUCCUAGAUUAACAUAUAUUAAAUUUGGGACCAUCCAACGGUCCCAACCUAUCGAACCCGGAUAACGCACAAUAUGCGAUUAUCCGUUCGAUAGUCAAACGACGUCCGAAUUGAGAUCCGCAAAAUCCUACGCACUCGUGACAACCUAAGGAUCUCAUCAGAACACAUCGCUACUUUUUCUACAGUGCCCACGCGCCGGCGCACGCGCCGGCAGCGCGUGGGUGCCCAAAGCGAUAACGCUUCGCCGGUAAAUCUCAAAACCACGGCUCCAAACCCCUACCCUAGGUAUAACACCCUGUUUGGAGCCACUUUUGUUCUUGGACCUACCCCAAAACGUGGCCGGAAAUGGCCAAUCACGGCGGCCGAAGUUUCGGCCGAUUUUCAAUUCGAAAAUCAAGUGAUCUAGAGAUCGAAUCGAUCAAAACCCAACCAACAGGCAGCUAGAACAGCUCGAGAGGUUCAAGAUCCAUACCUGGGUCGACGGAAAUGGUGGCCGGAGGAGGGAGAUCGACGGCGUUGAAGUUUCGAUGACCUCCCGGCGGUUUUCUGCAUUUUCCGGCCAGCACAGGCCGCGUCACCGGCGGGGAACGGUCGGGGAAGGAAGGAGGGACGACGGCGGUUCGAACGCCACCGGUCCCGUGGCCCGGUGGUGCACUGUGGCAGCGCCGACGCCUCUGGAAGGCGACUGCAGCGAAACGGGAGAGAGAGAGAGAGAGAGUCGCGAGAGACAGAGAGAGAGAGAGAGAGAGAGAGANNNNNNNNNNNNNNNNNNNNNNNNNNNNNNNNNNNNNNNNNNNNNNNNNNNNNNNNNNNNNNNNNNNNNNNNNNNNNNNNNNNNNNNNNNNNNNNNNNNNGGUAGUACCGGCGUAUGGGGAGAUUAUGUGAAAUACAGAAACAUGAAAUAAGGUAUUGCAUAUGUGUGGAAUUAGGUUUUAAGGAAGAACUACGUGUGGCUUGAUCUCUCAGGGAGGGUACGUAGGCAGCCUAAGGUUAUUAGGUGCAGCCGUGGACAUAGAUGUGAUUGUGUUAGAAGGUUAAAACCUUGUAUGUUGAAAUUGAAAAAGUUAGAUGAUGUAUGUUGAAAUUUAGUAGUCAUAAUUUAUAUUUGAAUUUAUCGUUUGCCUUGUUUAAGGCAUGAAUUGAUUUGCUAGCAUGCUUGGUAGUUGAGAAUUAUUGGAAGGCCGAAGACCGUUUAUGUGAAUUGCAUGAAAUUAUAUUGUGCAUGCUGCCAGUUGUGGAUAUUAAAUGUGUUUUUAUGUAGGUUGUAAUUUUGGAAAAUGUUCAAUUUACAAGAGAGACUCUACCGAAAUUUCGGUAAAAAGUUUCAUACCCUUGUUCCAUUUUGGGAAAAAGGGUAUAACUUUAGAAGUGGGCCUGACAUCGGGGUGAUGUCAGGAAUUUUCACAGGAUUCGCCUCGGGUUUUGGAAAAUUCCGGGCGGAUCCUUUCACAACGUGCUAUUUAGAAUCUCUUUUAAGGAUGCAGAUUUGAUCCCAUAAGGUACGGAGAUAUGUCUUGGACAGUGGAGAAUGCCUUGUCCAAGCAAAUCCUAGGCUUCGUGAGUCGUCGUACAUGGGAUGAGGAGAGUUUUGAUGGUUGAGGAUGUCGUAGCUUUAAUCCAACUCAGGACUAACUUGUCCUUUGAGUACGCUGGAUUUGGUGUUCCAUCAGUAAGAUUCUUCUGGGGACGGGUCUCAUAUGGGAUGACAUCUUCUAGAUCAUGAAGUUCUAGAACGUCAAUGAAUUGAGAUCUCCAAGACGGAUAAUUAUUCUUGUCCAUAGGUGUGGUGAAAAGAUGAGAGAUGUUGAAAGAAGUUGGGAUUGGAAACAUGUUGUCUUUUGAGGUUGUAUCUGUGGUUGAUUUGUUGGGAUGAGAAUUGACAGAGGAGGAGAGAGGAGAAUGUUGAGUGUUGGUCAUAGGUGAGGAUCGGUUUGAGCGCUAGCUACUGCCAGGCUCUGAUACCAUAUAGAAAAAGGAACUUGGGUUGAGGAAGAAGAUAGAGCAAAUAGGCAAGAAAAGAUAAGAAGGACCCGCAGGUCUAUUCUGUAUUGCUGGCUGAUUAUAUAAUUACAUGGUCGUUGACUAAUACCAUGAUAUUUACAGUAGGUAAUUGAUGCUAAGCUAAAAUAAAGGCAUACAAAUGGUAUGCGAAUAAGGUAGAAUAAGUAAUUUAGCAAUCAGCUGUGAUUUGGUAAUAAUUGGGGAAUUGACUUCCCAGAAUCACGCCCAUCAUGACAUGAAUCAUGGCUGGUCGUGUAGGCAUGUGCUAGCUGUACGGUGGUGUUCUUUUCACCCAAGAAUAUUGGUGGCCUGGAGGCCAAACUUUUACUCUCUCAGCAUCAUUUAUGCAAACAACGGGUAAGCUCUUCUUGUCUUUGCUUCACUCUCUUGUUUUUUUCUUAGACUUUGCUUUCUGACCAAUUUUCACCAUCUUUCAUAAUUUGUGAAAACCAACAGAACAAAAUGCCUUCUAAAUUGUAAAGCUUGAUUUUGAUAUUUAUUUAAUUGUUGAAUUCCCUUUAUAGGAAAUUAAUUUGAAGUAGUGGGUUUCUUUGCCUAACACAACAUGUACAAACCAAAGAGCUAUCUGUGUACUUCUUCGAGUUUGACAAUACCAACUUCAUAGCUGAAACUUCUCCUUUUUUUAAUCUCAAAGUUCAACCACAAAUUUGGGUUUUGUCCAUUGUGUACAUGCUUGACCCUUUUUGCUAUUUGUUGUUUUCUAUGUAUUUGUGGUAGUCUUCUACAAAAUGGGUUUUGUCUUUACCCAAUUGUAUGUGCUUAGAGACCUUCAGAUAAUUAAAACCAUCCUCAUCAUUGGUUUUGUGUUGACUUAACAGGAAGGCUUGCUUUGUGCAACUAGUUUAUUCACUUUCGGUCUAAAGACCAAAUUUUGGUUUGAAGAAGAGUCACUGGCAGCAAGUUGUGCAUCCAUUUUAAUUUUGGCAAGUCUUUUUUUUUUUUUUUUCUUGUUCGAAUUUUGUAGCAACGACCUAAUGCUUUGGUGCAUUCUUUUCUUUCUGAUUUUGAAAGGAAUUUCUAAGGCUUUGUAACAUAAUUUGAAAGGGCUAUCAUACCGCCAAUUAAGGUGAUGCCUUUGUUUUGUCUCAUUUUCCUCAUGUCUUGCCAGCAACAAAUUGAGAACCUUUUAUGAUAUUUGCAAUUUGCUGUGGAGAAGUGUUGUCUUAGUAACCUGCGUGUGCAAUCUGGCUUGGAUUUUUCUUUGUUGGCAACUUUUGGAGCACGAGACGUGGAUGUGAGUCCUCUUUGUUCAAUAGUUAUCAGCUUUUGUAAAUUUUCUGGCAAUCAGCAAUACCUACCACUACUACAUUUUACACUUUGGGCGACGAAGAACAAAACGUCGCGCAAAGUCUCAUUUAGUCGCCCCAAUUUCAGCGCGACAAAAAAGUCGUCGCGCAUAUUCGGUCGCGCGAAGAUCGUGAAGAAAGCCUUUGCGCGACGAGGCACAACCCUUCGUCGCGCAAAAGUGUGCGACGGGUAAACCAUCGUUGCACCAACGGUGUGGAGACGAAACAACUGUUCGUCGCAAAAGUAUUUGCGCGACGAAAUAUUAUUCGUCGCGCAAAAUAUGUUCGCGAAACGUAUAUGUUCGUCGCAGAACAAUUCGCGCGAUGAGAAAGUUUUCGUCGCACAUAUAAUUGCGCGACGAACAAUUAUGUCGUCGCGCCAAAUGUUUUGCGCGACGAAGCAUUUCGUCGCGCAAAACGUGUUUGCGAGACAUAUGUGUUCGUUGCGCAUGAAUUAAAAGCGAUUAAAAAAAUUUGAUUUUUUAUUUUUUUUUGUUACAUGAUGGUUUGCGCGACGAAAUAUUUUCCGUCGCGCAAAAAUAAUAUUACAAUUUUUUUUUAUAUUUUUUUUAAAUAAAAUUGGUUUCUUUUUAUUAAUUAAACAAUGAAAUUGCAAUAAAAAUAAAUUAGAAUAAAAUUUUGUUAUAAAAUAAAAUAAAUGUAUUACAAAUAAAAUAAAUGCACUAAUCAAAUAAUGAAUCAAAAUCAACCGAGUCGUCGCCAGUAUGCGGCUCGGAGGGCGGGUCGUUCCCCGGGGCAGUGGUCUGGUGGGGAUGCCCGGGAUGGACGGGCUCAGAGGUCGGCGCAUCAAAAUACGGGACUGGAAUGCCGGACUGUGCGAGGGACUGCAGAAUGACCGACAUCUGGCUCUGAAGAGUGGCCACCUGUGCUGUCAAAGCAGUGACCUGACUGUUUGACUGCGCCGAUGAACGAGGUCGAGGUUCCCUCCGCCGGGCAUUCCCCAUCCCUCGACAAUAUGUCCCCGGCCUCCUCCCGAGACUCUGAUCCAACGUCUCCGUCAAGAUCUGAAAUUCAGCAUCCUGUGGAGGAGCCACAGACUCGAUCGGAGUCUCGGGAGGAAGCUGGGAGGCGGACUCCUGAAGAACAAGCUGGCUCCUCUCCACCAUCGUCGUCUGUUGAACAUAACAUAAAAUAUAAAUUAAAACAUGCAUAUAAAUUGAAUGCGUAACAUAAGAAUUAAAAUUAAAUAAUACUUACAUGAAGGGACUCGGCCAACUCAUUCCCGGGUCGAACAUAAACGUCACCAAAGACGUCGAUCUCUGGGAACUUGGACCCCUCCUAAAUUGAACAAGAGAAGAAAAAUAUUAGUAUGAAAAAAAUAAAUUAAUAAAAAUGACAUUAAAAAUGAAAUAAAAAUUUUGUGAUUAUUACCCGACGCCGUGCAUCCAUCAUAUACGAAAAGGGUCUGGAGCCGGAAUGGUGGAGAAGGGUCUUCUUCUUCCUAUUACCCUUAUUCACUUGGGCUUUAUUCUGUUAUACAAAAAAUGAAACGUAUUAGUUAAAAUAUAAAAAAUUAAAUAAUAAUGAAAUAAAAAAAUAAAAUAAACAUUAAUAAGUAAUAAGUAAUAAUUAAACAAAUAUAAUUAAAAAAAUACCACAUAUUCGGGCGCUUGAAAAUGAGCGCAGAGCCACUCCCAACUAUCCUCCCGCCCCUCAAGCUCCUUCAGGCAACCCUCUUGAAGAGCGACUUGCGGAUCAUCAUAGGCCUGAAAAUGGUGGUGCAAGUCGCUCUUCCACUGCUUGUACCUCUCAGCGAAGAGUCUGUUGACGUACGUCAACGACUCUUCGUCGAGAUCCUCCAAGUUAUAGUUCGUCUGCAAUCAAUUAAUUAGAUACGUUAAGUAAUAGAAAUAUACACAAUUUUAAAGAAAAAUAAUGAAAAUGUAAGGUACAUACCGACAACUGGCCGCGAACCUCCGCCUGGAUCUCGUCAGGCAUGACCCUCCAAGACUUCCAUUGCAUCGGGCAAUGGGUCCACACGACGUGGCCAAUGUCGUGGGCCAAGGAGCUAUGCAACUCCGCCGUCGGUGCAGCCCGAUGGCGCUCGUCGUAUCCAAUGCUGAUACGACUGUUGGUCACCCGGGUGACCUUCGCCGUCUUCAGCUGACGACACGGUCCUCGGGUGUUCCUCUUCGCUGCAAAGAAAUAAGGUAUUAAUGUUAAAUAAAAAAACAUUGUCAAAUUUCAAUAUAAAAUUAACAAUACAAAAGUGUAGUUAUACCUGGCUGUGAUCCCGAGGCACCAGUACCGUCGGUCGAUGUCGUGUCGAUGGUGUCGGUGGGCCGGUGCCGCCGCCUAGCACUAGCUGGCUGCGCCACGGAUGACGCAGAUGACACAGGCGCCUGGGGCGCCCCGGGACCAACCACCACGUGGUCCAACAAAGCAGGAGCAGUGGCAGCAGAUGCCGACUGAGUCGGGGGAUCCGAACUCGGUGCAGUCGUCAUCGACCUACCACGUCUAAUCAAGUCUGACAUCUGCACAUACAAUUUCAUUCAGAAUUUAAACUAAUUAAUUAAAAGCAUAGCCUGACCUAGGGUUUGGAAUUUCGGAGUAUCCGGGACUCCGAUCAACGAUCGGUCGAAUCCUAAACGAUCCUAGAAACACAAAGGUACAACUACGUGAGUUUCAGUUCGAUCCAACGGUUCGAACAUAUCAAACCUGGAAAUCGCACAAUAGGCGAAAUCCGAUCAAGACUCAAACGGCAACCAAAUUCAAAUCCGAGCAAACCUACGCGCUCGUGACAAACAGGGGAUUGCUCUGGGACCUAAUGCCCCACUGCCACAGUAUCCCACCUGCCACCACACGCGCCGGCAGUGCGUGGGUGUCCAAAGCGAUAAAAUUCGCCGUUAAAUUCUAAAAACUAAGGGCCAAGGUUCCUACCCUAGGUUGAAAACAUUAAUUGGAGCCACUUUUGUUCUCGGACCGACCCCGAAAAAUAGCCGGAAGUGGCCGGAUUUGACAUUCUCAAACCGGCCAAAACCUAGGUUUUAAUUCGUAUUUCCUACGGCAAAAAUUCAUUAAAUCCUAACCAACCAUCAGCUAGAGCACAAAAAAUAGUCGAGAAAGCAUACCUCAUGCGUCGGAAAUGGUGGCCGGAGGAGAGAGAAAUCGGCGGCGAAGAUUCGGGAAAAACCGACGAAACGCGACGGCAGGGAGGAGGCGACGGCAGGGAGGCGGCUGAGGUGACGGCAGGGAGGUGGCUGCGGUACGAACGGAGAGAGAGGGCGGAGGCGACAGCGGAGAGAGAAGGGAGGAAAACCAGAAAUGGAGAAGAAGGAGGCUCGGGUCGUUUCUGCAGAUUUAUUCGAAUUUGCGCGACGAACAAUAAAUCCGUCGCGCAAAAUUGCAUUAAUGAAUCUUGCGCGACGGAAAUAUCGUCGCGCAAAAUCGCAUUAAUGAAUCUUGCGCGACGGAAACAACUAUCUUCGUCGCGCAAAACACAUUCUGGCCGCCAAAAUUUUGGGAUUUAGGGUUUAGCGGGAGGCUGAAACUGAAGGGUCUGUGCCUUUUGCGCGACGAAGCAAGCAAGCGUCGCGCAAUAUAAUCAUUGCGCGACGCAAAUGUUUCUGUUCGUCGCGCAAAACACUUUCUGGCCGCCAAAAUUUUGAGAUUUAGGGUUUAGCGGGAGGCUGAAACUGAAGGGUCUGUGCCUUUUGCGCGACGAAGUAAGUACGCGUCACGCAAUAUUUGUCGCGCAAAAUGGCAUUAAUGAACCAUGCGCGACGGAAGCACCCGUGUUCAUCGCGCAAAACACCUCUGGCCGCCAAAAUUUUGGGGUUUAGGGUUGGGCUGAAUCUGAAGGGUCUUUGCCUUUUGCGCGACGAAGUAACUACGCGUCGCGCAAUAUCUGUCGCGCAAAAUGGCAUUAAUGAACCUUGCCCGACGGAAGUACGCUGUUUGUCGCGCAAAACACCUCUGGCCGCCAAAAUUUUGGGGUUUAGGGUUUGGCUGAAACUGAAGGGUCUUUGCCUUUUGCGCGACGAAAUCAUGUAAUUCGUCGCGCGAGUUCGAGAUUGUGAUUCAGUUGAAGUUUUCGUUAAGUGUUCAAAGGGUCGAGGGAUUGCGCGACGUUUUUAUUCUGUUCGUCGCGCUAGUUCAGAAUUUCAUUCGGUUGAAAUUUUCACUAAGUGUUCAAAGGGGAUGGAGGGGUGAACUGUGUGUCCCAGAUUGCGCGACGAAUGUGAAAAUAUCCGUCGUGCAAUCUUUAUGACUUUCACUUUGCGCGACGAAAGGAAAGUUAUUCGUCGCGCAAAACCUAAACCCUAAAAUGUAAACCCUAAGCCGUAAGCCCUAAGCCCUAAACUCUAAACCCUAAAAUAGUUUCAAUGAUCCAACCGGCAAACUUAUUUUUUUAUACUUGGAGAUCGUAUACGCCAAAAAUCAAAACGACCAAACAUUCAGAUAUCAGAAAACGGGACAAAAUAUUUCGACGGUUAUAAAUGAAAAGUCAUGAUUUAACGGUUAUUUUAAUUCCGAUUUUGAUCAUUUUUUAAAGCAACAUUUGUUGACCCUAUAUGAAUACAAUGACUGAAUUUGAUCUUCAAUUUCAGAUUUUUACACUAGGGGAUACCACAUAAACGUUAAGUUACAUUUUGACAAAUGUAUGAACAAAUUUUUUAGUUUUUGGUGAAUAGACGAUUUUGAUAGCACACGCAGUCUACGAAACUAGUUUCACCCAUCCAGCCGUCAAACUUGUUUUUUUUAUAAUUCGAGAUCAUAGACAGCAAAAUUCGACCCAAAAAAACAUUCAAAGAUUAAGUAACGGGGUAAAACUUUUCGACGGUUCUAAAUAAAAAGUGAUGAUUGAACAGUUAUUUGAACUCCGAUGUUGAUGAUUUUUUGCACCAACAGUCCUACACUCCAUAUGAAUACAAUGAAAUACUUCGAUCGCCAAUUUGAAAUAUAUAUGUGUGUAUAUAUUAUACUAUAACGUAACCUAAUAUAUAUUUGCGCGACGAAGUUCUUCUUAUCGUCGCGCAAAAAACCCAUACGCGACGCAUUCAUGUUCGUCGCGAAAACUAUUGCGACGAGGUUGGUUCGUCGCGCAAAAUUUACGCGACGCAUUUUUUUGCGUCGCGUAUGGUAUUUUUGCGCGACGAUAAUGUGUCUUCGUCGCGCAAGGAUUUGGCGCCAUAACUCCUCCUUUAAUUCAAAUUGUGUAUGCUUUGUAUUUUUGGGAAUGGUUUUGUAUUCAUCAUUUUUUAUGCUUUGUAUUUUUUGGGAAGGCUUUGUAUUUCUUCAUCAAAACCAAACUAAAUUGAUAAUUAAGAUUUGAAUCGUGAAGAAUUUAUCGGUUUGACUAGAUUGAUGCCACUAAUCAUGAACCAAAGUGAAGAAAAAUAAGUGGCACACAGCUAAUAUUGGAGAAAUAACUUAAAUUUUCUGUUUAAACAUGAAGAAAUAACUAUAUCUCAAAAGAAAAAAAUAAUAAUUGAAGAGGCCUUAAGGCAUGAAUAAAUAAAUAAAUAAAUAAAAACCAAUCAACAAGCAUGGGGUCGUAAUAAGUACUGACUAAAGUAUUGACAUUCCAAUGAAGUUUGUGAUGAAAUAUGGAGAAUGAAUACACAACUACAUAUGGACAACUACAUAUAUUCAAAGAUUUGUAUUACACAAAAUGAAUACACUAACAUAAUAAAUUUACAAAUAAAUUCAUUAUUCAUCAUCUGAACUAUAAUAACUUUCGUUAUCGUCGCUAUCAUCACUCUCGGUCUCCCAAUCUUCUUCCUCCUCCUCCUCUAUAACUGCAUCAUUGGCGUUGCUAGGGCCAACUGCAACAUCGUAUCGGGGAAGAUCACCGAGGUCAAUUGUAAUUGACUGAAUCGGUAUUUCGACUGAAGCCACUCCUUCUAUUUGAAACGGUUCUUGUAUAACAUUUGUAUCUCGAAGUGUUUCCGCAUCAUUUUCCAUUGAAGAUUAUAAACGUUGGUCAGCCACAUUGUCAACGUCGUUGUCACUUGGGUCUAGUUCUGGUAUAUCAUACACGUUCCUAUGAUCCAUCUUCUGCACAACUUUCCACCCGUUCCCGGCUUUAGGGUCAUCUAGAUACACAAUUUGGGACGCCAUGUUUGCCAAAAUGUACGGGUCGUCAUCAUACCAAGUUCUGUUAAUGUUCACAGACAGUACUCCAUGGUCGAUUUUAACACUUCCCGCCCUAUUUGGGUUGGUAUCGAACCAUCGACACUUAAACAUGAUGACUUGGUAUCGAUCUUUGUAAAGCAAUUGCACGACAGUUGUCAGUUUGCCAUAGAAAUCAAUGUCCGUACUUACGCCUCCACCUGGGACAUGGACACCGCUGUUUUGCGUACACAACUUGUCAUCUCGUGCGGCCCCCAAAAAUUUGACGCCGUUAACAUUACAACCCGAGAACAAUUCAGCGCGAAUUGGGCCGAACGCCAAGUUAUAUAACUCAUCACUGUAAGUGGGGGAAUUCGAUGAUUUCAAUUUAUUCACCUAAUAGUAUACAAAACCAAUUACAUGUUAGUCUGACAAAAUUAAAUACUACAAUUUAUAUUUGUCAAUGAGAAAACACUUAUAACUUACAGAAUCCAAAAACCAUUGUGGAAAUAAUUCACGGUGUUUCCGGGCAACCAAAUGUGAUGGAUGUUCUCGCUUCAUCAUCUGUUCAUGCUCAUCUAAGUAGGCCAUUAUCUUAUCACAAUUGUUUAGUACGAACCAAUGCGCUACCUCCAUGUCAUUUCUAGAAAACGACUCUCCUCGUCCAGGAUCUCCAAAUGGUCGUGCGCUUUGGGCAAAAACAGAAAGUUUUUCAUUUCUCAUACCUCCGUCAUUAUUGCGUUGAGGACGAUUGAAAACCGUCUCCACAUCUUUUAAAUACAUUCCACAGAAAGUAAGCGACUCAUAUUGAACCCAAGCCUCUAUAAUUGAUCCUUCGGGCUUUGCCCUGUUGCGUACACUUUUUUUCAGCUCUCCGAGAAGCCUGCCAAAAUAAAACGAUAUGAUACAAAUUAGCAAACUGUCGAUAAUGAUGCAUACACAAAUGAUAAAGAUUAUAUACCUUUCUAUUGGAUACAUCCAUCGAUAGUUGACAGGACCAGCAAGCAAUGCCUCUUCUGGCAAGUGAACCAUCACGUGCAUCAUACUUGUAAAGAAAGCUGGAGGAAAUAUCAUCUCAAACUUGCAUAGGAAUUGGACAAUGUCAUGGCGCAACUGAAACAUGUCUGUCCUUCGCAAUGUUUUUGCCGUCAGUUGGGAAAAAAAUCUGGAUAACAACAUGAUUGGCUUCACCACAUCUUCCGGCAGUAGGUGUCGAAUACCCACAGGAAGUAGGCGUUGCAGGAACACAUGGCAGUCAUGGCUCUUAAGUCCAGUAAAUUUACCCCCAUCGACAUUCACGCAACGUGCGAUAUUAGAAGCAUACCCAUCGAAAAAUUUGACAGACGAUACAAACUUUAGAAACUCCUUUUUGUCAUUCGGUUUCAUAGAAAAGAAUGCAAGAUCCCUUCUAGCUUUAUCACUGUCCCUAUUCAUCCAUAAACCCCUUCGUAUGCCCAUUCUUUCCAAAUCAAGACGAGCUUUGAUCGUGUCCUUCGUCUUCCCCUCGAUAUCUAGAAUCGUGCCCACCAAUGUGUCGAAUACAUUUUUCUCAACAUGCAUCACAUCUAGAUUGUGCCUCAAUUUCAGCUUCGACCAAUAUGGGAGCUCAAAAAACAUAGGCUUGUGCGUCCAGUUCAAAUGUGUAGAAGGUCUGGUCCGACUGACUGUUUUCCCGAAUGGAGCAAAAUCCAAACGGUUCAGCUGUUCCAAGAUCUCAUCACCGGACCAUUCUCUAGGUCUGAGGCGACGCUUUGUGUUCCCGUCGAACUCUUUAUCUUUUUCUCGCCACUCGUGGUCCCAUGGCAACCAUCUCCGAUGACCAAGGUAACAAACUUUUCCCGCGUGCCAACCAGAAGUUACAUCUUCCUUGCAUACAGGACAUGCCAUAUAACCCUUUGUGCUCCACCCAGAAACCAUUGCAUAUGCUGGAAAAUCAUUCACAGUCCACAUAACUGCUGCUCGCAAAGUGAACAUCCUCCCAGUUGAUUUAUCGUACGUGCGAACACCGUUUGUCCAUAAAUCCUUCAGCUCAUCAACCAGAGGCCUUAAGUACACAUCAAUUGACCUGCCAGGAUCCUCAGUUAUCAUAACAGUCAUCAUUAUGUAUUCUUUUUUCAUGCAUUUCCAAGGCGGCAAAUUAUAUGGGAAUGCGAAAAUCGGCCAAGUGCUGUGGUGUUGGUUUAAAACCCCAUACGGAUUGAAUCCGUCAGUGGCAAGUCCCAAUCUUACAUUUCGGGGAUCAGCAGCAAACUCGGGGAACGUUCGAUCGAACUCUUUCCAUGCCUCCCCAUCUGCAGGAUGCCGCAUCACAUCAUCGUCUACCCGUUUUUCCUUAUGCCAUCUCAUGUCUGUGGCAGUAUGCGUCGACAUAUACAAUCGCUGCAACCUAGGUUUAAGGGGCAGAUAACGCAUGACUUUUUGUGGUAUCUUAGUCGUUCUAUUCUGGGAUGUCAUUUUGAACCUCGACUCAUUGCAUAUAGGGCAUGUAUCCAACGUUUCAUGCUCUUUGUAGAAUAACAUGCAAUUGUUUUUGCAAGCGUGGAUUUUUUCAUAACCCAAUCCAAGACCGUGCAACACCUUCUGUGCAUGUUUAUGGUCUUUCGGCAAACAAUUGUCCGUCGGAAGCAUUCUCUUGAAAACCCCCAAAAAGUAAUCGAAACACAAGUUCGACAUACGAUACUUUAUUUUUCCGUGCAUUAGCUCCACAAUGGCAGUGAGAACGGAAAAGCUCUCGCACCCCGGGUAUAACUCUUAGUUGGCAUUUUUUAACAGUUUUUCAUACUGUUCAAACUCCGCACUGUCUAUUGGUGUAGGCACGUCAUCUUCCCCUUCCUGAUUGAUGUUGGUCGAUGCGAAUGGAAAAGCAUCAUGUAUAAUACCCAUGACUUGAUCAUUAGGAUCCACAAUAGGUUCAACAUUGUCCACUCUUGGGGCAUUUGAAGACGAAGCAUGCUCUACUUGUUCGCUGUGAAGGUUCCAAAUGCUAUAUGUUUCAAUCAUUCCAUUCCUUACUAAAUGAAAUCCAACAUUUUCAAUUGUCUCCCACAACGUGUUGUUACACCUCCUACAAGGACAACGGAUUCUAGUUGCACCCGGGUUGUGUCUACGUGCAAACUCAAUAAAAUCCUCGAUUCCAUCCAAGUAUUCGUCUACGCAUCUAUUCGGGUUCUGUAUCCACCUUCUGUCCAUAAUUCCUGAAACCACAAUCACGACACAACAAUCACAACAACUUCAUACGAAGUUAUAAUGUCACAUUAUGCCUCCGGUAAGGGCCCUAUCCCAUUCGGGAAUGCAUAGUCCUGUCACGUCACCUACGGCUACAUGAGAUUAGAUUUCGACGUGGAUUAAUUUCGGCAGCAUCUCGACACAGUUCUUGAAGUGGGCAUAGGUAUAAAUACCUACGUACCACCCGAAGAACGUACCGAGAUGACACCGAAAUCUCCACAAUCGAAACCUAAUCCUGUAGCCGAAGAUUAUGUGACAACACUAUGCAUUACCAAACUGUCCAAAUAAUGAGACAAUUCAAGAAUUAAUUGGACCGCAGUCAUGCAUUACGCAUCCAUGCACGAAAUCCAACUAAUCUCGAACGGGAAACUACGUGUUACUAAACAUAAAAAUAAAAGUACGAAGUUAAUUUCAAUUAACUUCGUACAUCACAACACAUUGUGCUAUGUCACGCACAAUUUCACAAUAUUAUACACAUAUAACUUCACAAAAAAAUUACAAACAUAACAAACAAACUUUUACAAUAACAUACCUUCUCAAUCGUUCUCCACCAAUCACCAAUCACAAAUAUCCCUAACGAUAACAAAAUUAAUAGCGUUACUACGAAUUUACAUUAAUACAUUUAAACUAACGACAAAAAAUACAUACCCAAUGAACGUACUGAAUUCACAGCAGAGCAACGGCAGGGAGAGUGAGAGAGAGGCAAAAUACAGUGGGUGAGAGAGAGGCAGAAUGCAGAAACUGCAUUCUGCCUCUACAAUGGCAGAUACUAAAAUGAAGAAGAAGGACUUUGCGCGACGAACAACCCAGUCCGUCGCGCAAAAUGCCGUCGCGAAAACCCACUUUUCCGUCGCACAAAAAAACAUUUCCGUCGCUCAAUUACCUGCCGACAUCAGGUUUUUUGCGCGACGAAUAAAAUUAUCCGUCGCACAAACAUCCGUCGCGCAAAUAACAUUAUUCGUCGCGCAAGGUUUAGAUUACGUCGCGCAAAUAACAUUUAUUUCGUCGCGCAAGAUAGCACGGCAUUACACUUUACGCGACGAAGCUAAUUCCGUCGCGCAAAAAAAGUUUUCCCACCCUGCAUUUUGCCGCCAAAAUUAAGUAACCCUCGUUUUCUUACGCGACGGUACAUAUUUCCGUCGCGCUAAGGCGUCUUUUGCGAAGAAAAAGUUCGUCGCGCAAAGUUUUUUACAACAAAAAAAAUUAGACAAUUUUCUGUCCAUCUUUACGCGACGAAACAUUUAGAUUGUUGCGCAAUAUUGUCAUGCGCGACGAUUGUUGUCGUUGCGCAAGAUUAUGGCGCGAAAAAAAAAAACCGGGGUUUUUUCCCCGACCUUUGCGCGACGAAAUUAGUGUUGGUCGCGCAUAGAUUGUUUGCGCGAUGAAGAUUUUUCGUCGCGCUAGUGUUCUGCUGUUUGCGCUCCGGUAUUUUUUUUUCGUCGCAAUAGUGAUUUUUGCGCGACGAAAAUAUGUUCGUCGCGCAAAUAGUAAAUCGUAGUAGUGUACAUACCUUUUUAAUAUUUUCUUUUAUAUUUUCUCCUGUUUAUGCAUAUGAGUGACUCUAAAACAGAGUUGUUGAUUUUCUCCCUUUGCAGCAUGUUUUGCCAUCUCUUCUUUCUCCAAUUUGCAGAUCUGGAAUUUUGUUGUGCUGAAGGUGGGUUGGGCAUGUAACAAAGCAUUUGGGAUUUUGCCAUUUUCUAUUUUUUGUACUCAAGAACAUUCGCAAGGUCUUCGCUGAAUACCACAACGUGCCUAUGGACACUCGCAAGGUGUUCACGGCACUUAGUAAAGUGGGGUUCUUACGAAAGCUCAUCUGUAAUUCACAGCAGAGAGGUCCUUGCGGGAGCUCUCUUUGUGUAAGCAGCACAGUUACCAUCAUUUUGAAAAGAUUUGUUUACAUCUUCCAUUGCCAAGGCUUAUGUACACUUUCUUUUACACUCUUUCUUUAGCCUGCAAGUUAGUUGUACAUAAGAGAAUGCUCAAAUUAAUGAAUCAUUUUAUACCUUCCCCAAUGGUAUUUGUGACAGAGCUUCAUAUCUCCUUUGCUUGCUUCUCUUUCUUUCCUUUUUUUUUUUCUUCUUUGGAUUUCUGUAGCAGUUUGGUGCUUCUCCUCCUUUGCGUUUUUGCCUUUGUUUUUUUUUUUUUCUGCUCACCAAUGAUCCCUUUUUAUAGACCAAGAGAAACUGAAGGGAGUGGAGCCAGUUAUAUGGGCUCACGUACUGUGUGGGUACUGUAUGUGGAAGUAACUUUCCAUUUUCAGUCAGCCCUCAAUUCCACACUCCACAGUCACGUACAAGAAGCAUAUUCUGUUUUCUUGUAAAAAUAUUAAUAUUAAUUUAUUUUGGGCCUAAACCAAUUUAGCAAUAAGCGCUCAAGACCAUUUUAGCUAUGAGCCCAACUUCUUUAAAUUUGGGCCAUAAUUUAAUUUGAUGUCAAUGAAUUUUUUUAUUUCAACACCAGGUACAUAACCUUAUACCUACAAAAGUGCCAAGAACACCAACUAGAACCCAAGGACAGGUCUAGAAACAACAGAGCUCAGCACAGAAAAGGUAAAAACAACAAAAUACAAUAACCGAAGCCAUGAGACCCCUACCUCCUAAACCUCUCCUCUUUUUCUCUGUAUCUUGUGUCUCCCAAAUCCCAAUUCCCACAUCCCCUCAAGUGUUCAAAAUUCAAAUAAAAUUAUAUCUAAAUCAAAAUCGAAAUAUAACGUUUAUUCUCAUCGUCAAUCGACUAAGUCUCUAGGAACAUGCAAAAGUUAUUUUAGGCAGCCUUCAAUGUAUUUGCAACGUCGAUGACAAAUCGAUAUCUAACAUCAGCUUUGAGAAGACGUUCCAUGGCGGUAUUUAAAUAAUCAAUUGGGAUAACUUCAAUGUCAGAUGUUAUGUUGUGUUCGGCUGCAAAGUCGAUCAUCUCUUGUGUCUCCUUAAUACCUCCAAUGCAACUGCCAGCAAUUAUCUUCCUUCCUGCAAUUCCAGAAUUUAGGGUUUGUUAAAGAAUGUCAAUUUUUGUAACUGAAAAGAAAUUAUAAAAUAAUCCUUAAUCUUCGUUUUUACACAUUCACAUGCUUACCCAAGACCAAUGGAGUAAUUGGAAGCUCAAAAGGCUUCUCUGGUAGACCAACCAUAACAAGUUUCCCAUCACACUUCAACAAACCAAUUAAAGGCAACAGAGGGUGGACUGCAGAAACCGUGUCAAUGAUACCAUCCAUUGUGCCCAUGGCAGUCUACAAAAUUAACAUGACAAAAUAUUUAUUAGGAUGAUUAUAAUCAUUACCAUUAUCAAUGAAACUUGUUCAAAUAUUUACCUUCAUUUGAUCUUGUUCACGGCUGACCAAAAAGGCAUCAGCUUUGAGACUUUUAAUAGCUUCGUCCUUCUUAUUAGGGGAGGUACUGAUCACUGUAACCCUAGCCCCCAAAGCCUUGGCAAACUUGACUGCCACAUGGCCCAGACCACCAAGGCCAACCACCCCCACAUGCAUGCCGGGUUUAUCGAGUCCAUAAUGUCUCAAGGGGCUGUAAGUUGUGAUCCCGGCAUAUAGGAGAGGGGCAGCUCCAUCAAGGGGAAUGUUGUCAGGAAUACGAAUUACGAAGCCCUCCUCCGUGACCAUGAAGUCAGAGUAGCCUCCAUACGUGAUGGUUCCAUCGUGGUACUUGCCACCAUAGGUUAGUAUAUAUUUGGGGCAGUAAUUCUCAAGGUUGUGGGAACAAUUGUCACAUGAUCCGCAAGAACCCACUAUGCAUCCAACACCGACUUUGUCUCCAACCUUGAAUUUUUGUACCUUGCUCCCUACCUCUGUCACUACACCGACAAUCUCAUGCCUGCAUUGUGUCAUUUAAUUAAGUUCACAUUUAAUGUUAGUUAAUUAAACUCAUGCAAUAUUUCAGAUACUAAUUUUCUCUAUAUUAAUCAUUCGGUAUUAGACCUACCCGGGAACCAAAGGAUAUUUAGAACUUCCCCAGUCAUUCUUUGCCGUGUGAAGGUCGGUAUGGCAUAUCCCACAAUAUAAUACUUUGAAUGUCACGUCUUUUUCUCCCGAUGCCCUGCAACCAAUUAAAUCAGUUCAAUUUUAUAGAACUAAUUCAAAACAUGAGAUAAUGCAUGGAGAGGGCAAGAAGAACCCAAGAAAAGCCUAUGAUCAUACUGCAUUCUAUCCUCUUUUAGAUAUAAAUGGAAAGUUUAUUAAUUUCGUCAGGUUAUUAAGACAUGAAAAACUUAAAUCAAAUGGAUUUUAAACCUAAAAAAUAAAAAACCUAAUCUUUUUUUCUUUUUUUUUAUUUGUUCGAUUUCUUUGUCUUCCCUAAAGAAGAAACUAUUAAUGUCGAAAAUUAAUAACCUUCUUGAGAAUUUGAAGGGAGAUAAAACACCGGAUGAAUCCCUUGCAGCCCAUCCAAUGGCCUUCUUAGGGUGUUCUUCCUCUGGAGAUUUCGCCAUUUUCUUUCUUGUUAGUUAUUAUUUUCUCUCAUAGUGUAUAUUAACUUAUAUACAACUUUUUUGCGACGUGCUAGUCUUUCGGGAGUUUUUGCUCACAUAAAUCCAACUUUCUUGGCUUCUUCUUAGUCUGAAUCCAAUUUUUUGGGUGGCCAUACAACUGUCCCGGGAAAGUACACUCAACAAUAUUUGGUUUGAGCUUACCUCCGUAAUUGUGGUUGAUGAUUUAAAAGAAAUUAAACAUUUUGAUUUACAUAUAUGUUUUAAUAUAUAAAAAAAAACAUUUGACUACUUUCAAAACAAAUUUUGAUACUUUUCCGGAAUUAUUUAUACAUACAAACCAAAUAAUUAGUUAUAAUCCUCAUUCACAUGAUUAUACUCGCGCAUUUCAUCUUCUUGGGAAAGGUAUACUUAUUCGUCAUGUAUGGACUGAUCGAAAUAACAUUUCCUUGAUAAAUUGAGGUAUAAUUGAGGGAUUUCUCAAAUAAAGUCUCGUUAAAAAAAAAUUAACAAAAUUUUAUUUUUGUAUGCCCAAAAUAAAACAAUGCUACUUUUUGCGGUGCGUUUUUUUCUUUCUCUUUUUGUAUGUGAAUCAACGAGUAUAAGUUAUCAUGUCUCAGCGCAAUUAAAAAAGAAAAGAAAGACAAAGCCCAUUACAAAAAUCCAGCGAAGGUAGCAUGACCCAAAGAUUACGAAGCCCAUAAAGGGAGCAAUACAAAUACAGAAGGGUCCAAAUUCCACUUGUGCAACAGAAUAGUCAAUUUUGCGGAGUUAUCAUGUUUGUGCCUCCACAUUAAUUCUUAAAGUAUAUAGAAACCUGCAAGAGCUUAUAGCUCAACUCAAGUUGUUAAGAGUAUUUACUUUUGCAUUUGAAUUCCUAGUUUUGAUUCUUUCUUCUUUCAAUAUUGUUUGAAUAUAAAAAAUAAAAAAUAAAAGCAUAAAGAGACAUUAAAUAUAUUUAUAUUUUUAAAAUUAAAUGAUGAAGGUGAAAGUUGUGCACGUUUCCAUUUAAUUAAGAGCGAGAGGCUCAAUUGGGACCACUAGAUUGACAGGAAAGUUGUCGUUCUAAAUAGCAUGAAUGGAAUCAGACAAUAUUAGACUGCACAUAGGCUUAGAAGUAAGUCGGUCACGUAGGAUUAGAUAUCUUAUUAUUUUCACAGCACAAUAAUACCAAAUUUGUCUUUAGACUGCACAUAAGCUUCGAAGUAAGUCGUUCACAUGGAGGGAAAGUUAAUCAGAUAUCUAAUCAACGAUUAUAAAACAAGAUAAAACCAAAACGUCAUCUCAGAUGAGGUGAGGUGAACAUGCAUAUAUGUACUUGCCAUUUCAUUUAUUUAUUUAAAAUCCAUCCUGUCCUGUGUGCCAAGUUGUUCUCUAAAUUUAUAAUUUUCACAUGACAAGUCAAUAAAGAAAACAUGUAGAAGAACCAAGAAAGUAGUUGCUGGAAACUGAACUCGAACUUAAUUCAUUGACUGAUAAAAAAAAUACAAUUUAAAUAGAACUCACAAGAUCAAACUGGGCAGGAAAACAUGGAACAACAAUCCCAUGACCAACACGACUAGCAGUUACUAUUAGACUCCCAACAUAUAUAAUGGGAUGCUCUUAUAGAAUAGGUAAAACCACAGCUGACCUUCUAACAAAAUUUAAGAGCUAGACUUCAGUGUGUUUCCGAUGUCUAUAACAAAUCGGUAUCUGACAUCUGCUUUGACAAGGCGCUCCAUGGCAGUGUUCAGAUAAUCAAUCGGGAUAACCUCGAUGUCAGCUGUUAUGUUGUGUUUGGCUGCAAAGUCAAUCAUCUCUUGUGUCUCCUUCAUUCCUCCAAUGCAACUGCCGCCUACUAUCUUCCUUCCUAUAAUAUUAAUUGAAGAACAAAUUGAAAUGUUUGUUAACAACUUUAAUAUAUAGACAAUGAACCGAUUCAAAUUAAUGUACACUUCUGGAGCACUUACCCAUGAGCAAAGGAAAAGCUGGAAGCUCAAGAGGCUUCUCUGGUGCACCAACCAUCACAAGCUUUCCAUGAGACUUCAACAAACCAAUCAAAGGCAAAAGAGGGUGGACGGCAGAAACCGUGUCGAUGAUGCCAUCCAUUGUGCCUAGGGCAGCCUACAAAUCAAAUCAACAAAAGUAAAUUAACCCAAAAACAUGUGACAAUCUAACGUCAACUUAAUUGUUCAAAUAAUCACCUGCAUUUGAUCUUGGUCCCGGCUGACCAAAAAUGAAUCAGCAUGGAGAUGGUCAAUAGCUUCUUCCUUCUUAUUAGGGGAGGUGCUGAUCACUGUAACCUUAACCCCCAUAGCCUUGGCAAACUUCACGGCGACGUGCCCUAAACCGCCUAGACCAACAACACCGACAUGCAUACCAGGUUUGUCAAGUCCGAAAUAUCUCAAGGGGCUGUAAGUUGUAAUCCCGGCACAUAGGAGAGGAGCAGCUCCAUCAAGAGGUAGGCUGUCCGGAACACGAACGAUGAAGUGUUCGUCGGCCACCAUGAUAUCGGAGUAACCGCCAUAUGUGGUGGUUCCGUCGAGGUACUUGGAACCAUAGGUGAGUAUCAUUUUGGGGCAGUAAUUCUCAAGGUUGUUGGCACAACUGUCACAAGAAUGGCAAGACCCAACCAUGCAUCCAACACCUACCUUGUCUCCAACUUUGAAUUUUUCUACUUUGCUUCCUACCUCUGUCACUACGCCAACAAUUUCAUGCCUGCAUUGCCCCAAAUAAGUUCACUUAUAGGAAUGCGUUCAUUGAAAAGCUUGAGCUAAUUAACUUACGUUCACAUCACCCAUCAGUAAAUGCUCUGGUCUGACUGUAAACUUGUGAUAAUUCUAGCAAGUAUUUUUCUUAAUUUUCUUAUGGCAUGCCCUGCCUUUCAUUGCCACCAAUCAAAUAAAAGUUUUACAGAAAAAUUAAUUUGAAAACUUUAUACUAAACUAAAGUCAUAAAAAACAUAUAUUGAGAAAAAGACCCAUGCAUUUAGGACAAAUGCAACAGACAUCGUACUUAUGCGUUUCGGUUUAUUUUUUAAGGAGCUAAAUUUUGCUCUUUUUAAAUUAAAAAAUUGUUAUUAACACUUGAAUUAAAAAUCAUGGCGUAUUUCUCACUAGAAUUGAUUCGAUGCAAAUUUCAAUAGUUCCUCUACCAAUAUAUCAAAAAAGAAAAUCAACGACUAACUAAACUAAAGUCAUGUUUGAUAAAUGACAAC
RNAcentral lists this long non-coding RNA (41708 nucleotides) under Prunus persica (peach). RNAcentral's name for it is "long non-coding RNA (PPER_LNC006531)". Lineage: Eukaryota; Viridiplantae; Streptophyta; Magnoliopsida; Rosales; Rosaceae. The record is from RNAcentral.